RNAcentral lists this ribosomal RNA (322 nucleotides) under uncultured Sandona. RNAcentral describes it as "SSU rRNA". The stretch from base 62 to 322 matches the Rfam family "Eukaryotic small subunit ribosomal RNA", at positions 694 to 955 of the family's 1831-position model. The record is from RNAcentral. Lineage: Eukaryota; Cercozoa; Glissomonadida.
GAUUUCUGGCUUGAAACAUUUUGCCGGCCACGGUUUCGUGUGUUAGUGCUUGGUGUUCUGGCCAUCCUUCCAAUCGCUAUUUGUCUUUCUUCAUUGAUGGGCAAGUGGUAUUGGAUCUUUUACUUUGAAAAAAUUAGAGUGUUUCAAGCAGGCUUUAUGCUAUGAAUACAUUAGCAUGGAAUAAUAAUUUAGGACUUCGGUUCUAUUUUGUUGGUUUCUAGGACUGAAGUAAUGAUUGAUAGGGAUAGUUGGGGGUGCUAGUAUUCAAUGGCCAGAGGUGAAAUUCUCGGAUUCCUUGAAGACUAACUUAUGCGAAAGCAUU